UUGAACGCUGGCGGUAUGCUUAACACAUGCAAGUCGAACGGCAGUGCACCUAGCUUGCUAGAUGCGCGAGAGUGGCGGACGGGUGAGUAACGCGUAGGGAUCUGCCUAGAAGAGUGGGACAACACGGGGAAACUCGUGCUAAUACCGCAUAAUCUCUAAGGAGGAAAGGUGGGAGCAAUCCUGUCGCUUUUAGAUGAACCUGCGUUGGAUUAGCUUGUUGGUGGGGUAACGGCCUACCAAGGCAAUGAUCCAUAGCUGUUCUGAGAGGAAGAUCAGCCACACUGGGACUGAGACACGGCCCAGACUCCUACGGGAGGCAGCAGUGGGGAAUAUUGGACAAUGGGCGCAAGCCUGAUCCAGCAAUACCGCGUGUGUGAAGAAGGCCUGAGGGUUGUAAAGCACUUUCAGCGAGGAGGAAGGUUGCAUAGUUAAUAGCUAUGUAGUUUGACGUUACUCGCAGAAGAAGCACCGGCUAACUCUGU
This 482-nucleotide ribosomal RNA is filed under the name uncultured bacterium. Its description in RNAcentral is "bacterial SSU rRNA". It matches the Rfam family "Bacterial small subunit ribosomal RNA", at positions 30 to 506 of the family's 1533-position model. The record is from RNAcentral.